UACAGAGGUGCCAAGCGUUAGGCGGAAUCACUGGGCGUAAAGCGCGCGUAGGCGGGUUGGUAAGUCCGCUGUGAAAGCCCGGAGCUCAACUCCGGAGGGUCGGUGGAUACUGCCAGUCUUGAAGGUGCUAGGGGGAGAUGGAAUUACCGGUGUAGCGGUGAAAUGCGUAGAUAUCGGUAGGAACACCAGUGGCGAAGGCGGUCUCCUGGGGCAUUCUUGACGCUGAGGCGCGAAAGCUGGGGGAGCGAACGGG
This 253-nucleotide ribosomal RNA is filed under the name uncultured bacterium. Its description in RNAcentral is "partial 16S ribosomal RNA". It matches the Rfam family "Bacterial small subunit ribosomal RNA", at positions 524 to 776 of the family's 1533-position model. The record is from RNAcentral.